GAUGAACGCUGGCGGCGUGCCUAAUACAUGCAAGUCGAGCGAACAGACGAGGAGCUUGCUCCUCUGACGUUAGCGGCGGACGGGUGAGUAACACGUGGAUAACCUACCUAUAAGACUGGGAUAACUUCGGGAAACCGGAGCUAAUACCGGAUAAUCUAUUGAACCGCAUGGUUCAAUAGUGAAAGACGGUUUUGCUGUCACUUAUAGAUGGAUCCGCGCCGCAUUAGCUAGUUGGUAAGGUAACGGCUUACCAAGGCAACGAUGCGUAGCCGACCUGAGAGAGGGGUCGGCCACACUAGAACUGGGACACGGUCCAGACGCCUGCGGGAGGCAGCAGUAGGGAAUCUUCCGCAAUGGGCGAGAGCCUGACGGAGCGGCGCCGCGUGAGUGAUGAAGGUCUUCGGAUCGUAAAACUCUGUUAUGAGGGAAGAACAAAUGUGUAAGUAACUAUGCACGUCUUGACGGUAACGAAUCAGAAAGCCACGGCUAACUACGUG
RNAcentral lists this ribosomal RNA (497 nucleotides) under uncultured bacterium. RNAcentral's name for it is "partial 16S ribosomal RNA". It matches the Rfam family "Bacterial small subunit ribosomal RNA", at positions 28 to 507 of the family's 1533-position model. The record is from RNAcentral.